This 254-nucleotide ribosomal RNA is filed under the name uncultured bacterium. RNAcentral describes it as "partial 16S ribosomal RNA". It matches the Rfam family "Bacterial small subunit ribosomal RNA", at positions 524 to 776 of the family's 1533-position model. The record is from RNAcentral.
CACGUAGGGUGCGAGCGUUGUCCGGAAUUAUUGGGCGUAAAGAGCUCGUAGGCGGUGUGUCGCGUCGGCCGUGAAAACCUGCAGCUUAACUGUGGGCUUGCGGUCGAUACGGGCAUCACUGGAGUUCGGCAGGGGAGACUGGAAUUCCUGGUGUAGCGGUGAAAUGCGCAGAUAUCAGGAGGAACACCGGUGGCGAAGGCGGCUCUCUGGUCCACAACUGACGCUGAGGUGCGAAAGCUAGGGGAGCAAACGGG